UGAGUACGAGAUGCUACGGCAUCGAAGCAGUCUAUGUCAUACUUCCAAGAAAAGCUUGCACUGUCAUAAACAAAGAAUGCCUGUACCAUAACCGACACAGGUGGGUAGGUAGAGUAUACUAAGGGGCGCGAGAUAACUCUCUCUAAGGAACUCGGCAAAAUGACUCCGUAACUUCGGGAGAAGGAGUGCCUUACUUCUAAGGUUGCAAUAACAAGAUCCAAGCAACUGUUUACCAAAAACACAGGUCUCCGCUAAGUCGUAAGACGAUGUAUGGGGGCUGACGCCUGCCCAGUGCCAGAAGGUUAAAGAAGUUGGUUAGCAUUAGCGAAGCUGAUAACUGAAGCCCUGGUGAACGGCGGCCGUAACAAUAACGGUCCUAAGGUAGCGAAAUUCCUUGUCGGGUAAGUUCCGACCCGCACGGAAGGCGUAAUGAUUUGGAUACUGUCUCGGAGAGGGGCUCGGUGAAAUAGACUUGUCUGUGAAGAUGCGGACUACCUGCACCUGGACAGAAAGACCCUAUGAAGCUUUACUGUAACUUGAGAUUGAAAUUGGACUUUAUUUGCGCAGUAUAGGUGGGAGGCGUUGAGAAUAAUCUUGCGGGAUUGUUGGAGCCAUCAGUGAGAUACCACUCUUGUAAUGUUAGAUUUCUAACUUUGUAUCAUUAUCUGGUCAAAGAACAGUUUCAGGCGGGCAGUUUGACUGGGGCGGUCGCCUCCCAAAGGGUAACGGAGGCGCACAAAGGUUUCCUCUGAACGGGUAGAAAUCGUAUCUAGAGUGUAAAGGCAUAAGGAAGCUUGACUGUGAGACCUACAAGUCGAGCAGGGACGAAAGUCGGUCUUAGUGAUCUGACGGUGCUGAGUGGAAAGGCCGUCACUCAACGGAUAAAAGUUACUCUAAGGAUAACAGGCUGAUCUCCCCCAAGAGUUCACAUCGACGGGGAGGUUUGGCACCUCGAUGUCGGCUCAUCGCAUCCUGGGGCGGUAGUCCGUCCCAAGGGUUGGGCUGUUCGCCCAUGAAAGCGGUACGCGAGCUGGGUUCAGAACGUCGUGAGACAGUUCGGUCCAUAUCCGGUGUAGGCGUUAGAAUAUUGAGAGGAGCCUUCUCUAGUACGAGAGGACCGAGAAGGACAUACCUCUGGUGUACCAGUUAUCGUGCCAACGGUAAACGCUGGGUAGCUAUGUAUGGAGUGGAUAACCGCUGAAAGCAUCUAAGUGGGAAGCCCACCUCAAGAUAAGUAUUCUCA
Molecule: ribosomal RNA, 1243 nt
Filed under: metagenome
Description: bacterial LSU rRNA
Rfam family: Bacterial large subunit ribosomal RNA
Source: RNAcentral